GAAGCGCGAAAUGUAGUGUGAAUCGCAGAACAUUGUGAAUCAUCGAAUCUUUGAACGCACAUUGCGCCUCUAGUAACUUGGAGGCAUGCCUGUCUGAGCGUCAUUUAAAACAAUAGACCCACUCGGGUUUGUAUUGGGCGUCGCCUCCUGGCGUAGCCUCAAAGACAUUGGUCUUAUACGCGGACGAGCUCCUUUAGGACAGACCGUGUAGGGACUUUAAAACAUCUGACUUGACCUCAGAUCAGGUAGGACUACCGCCUGAACUUAA
RNAcentral lists this unclassified non-coding RNA (268 nucleotides) under uncultured Archaeorhizomyces. RNAcentral's name for it is "sequence contains ITS1". The stretch from base 1 to 103 matches the Rfam family "5.8S ribosomal RNA", at positions 50 to 154 of the family's 154-position model. Lineage: Eukaryota; Fungi; Ascomycota; Archaeorhizomycetes; Archaeorhizomycetales; Archaeorhizomycetaceae. The record is from RNAcentral.